AAUGAACGUUGGCGGCGUGCUUAACACAUGCAAGUCGAGCGAGAAAGUUCCUUCGGGAAUGAGUACAGCGGCGGACGGUUGAGUAACACGUGAGAAUCUACCCUUUAGUGAAGAAUACCCUCGGGAAACCGAGGCUAAUGCUGCAUAAGUCCCUUCGGGGAGAAAGAUGGCCUCUUUGCUGUCGCUAAAGGAUGAGCUUGCGGCCUAUCAGCUAGUUGGUGAGGUAAUGGCUCACCAAGGCGAUGACGGGUAGCCGGCCUGAGAGGGUGGUCGGCCAGACUGGAACUUAGAUACGGUCCAGACUCCUACGGGUGGCAG
This 318-nucleotide ribosomal RNA is filed under the name uncultured bacterium. RNAcentral describes it as "bacterial SSU rRNA". It matches the Rfam family "Bacterial small subunit ribosomal RNA", at positions 29 to 351 of the family's 1533-position model. The record is from RNAcentral.